Polyodon spathula (Mississippi paddlefish) is the source of this 426-nucleotide non-coding RNA. Lineage: Eukaryota; Metazoa; Chordata; Actinopteri; Acipenseriformes; Polyodontidae. The record is from the annotation of a RefSeq genome assembly.
GGCAACGGUAUAGAAGUGACACACAGUGUAGCGCCUCAUUACCGAACCAGACAUGGGAGGCAUUGCACAGCUCUGCAUCGUACUGUACUGCUUGGCAGGUGUUUGGGCGGACAUUGUUUUGAAGCAGUCCGAUCCUGAGGUUAGAAAGCCAGGAGGUUCUGUGAAACUGUCCUGUCAAGGCUCCGGGCAAGACAGUGAUGGGGAUACUAUCACUGCUUAUGAGAUGAGCUGGAUUCGACAAGCUCCUGGAAAGGGUCUGGAAUGGGUGGCUGAGAUUAGCAGCAGUGGUGGUAGUUAUACAUACUAUGCCCAGUCUGUCCAGGGAAGAUUCACCAUCUCCAGAGACAAUUCCAACAGCAUGCUGUAUUUACAAAUGAACAGCCUGAAGACUGAAGACUCUGCCCUGUAUUACUGUGCUGUUGCACA